RNAcentral lists this unclassified non-coding RNA (345 nucleotides) under soil metagenome. RNAcentral describes it as "partial contains 5.8S ribosomal RNA, internal transcribed spacer 2, and large subunit ribosomal RNA". The stretch from base 1 to 120 matches the Rfam family "5.8S ribosomal RNA", at positions 35 to 154 of the family's 154-position model. The record is from RNAcentral.
GAUGAAGAACGCAGCGAAAUGCGAUACGUAAUGUGAAUUGCAGAAUUCAGUGAAUCAUCGAGUCUUUGAACGCACAUUGCGCCCCCUGGUAUUCCGGGGGGCAUGCCUGUCCGAGCGUCAUUGCUGCCCUCAAGCACGGCUUGUGUGUUGGGCCUCCGUCCUCCUCCCGGGGGACGGGCCCGAAAGGCAGCGGCGGCACCGCGUCCGGUCCUCGAGCGUAUGGGGCUUCGUCACCCGCUCUUGUAGGCCCGGCCGGCGCUUGCCGACACAUCAAUCUUUUUUCCAGGUUGACCUCGGAUCAGGUAGGGAUAACCGCUGAACUUAAGCAUAUCAAUAAGCGGAGGA